UGCCAGCAGCCGCGGUAACACGGGGGGCGCAAGCGUUAUUCGGAAUUAUUGGGCGUAAAGGGCGCGCAGGCGGUCUUGUCCGUCAGGUGUGAAAGCUCGGGGCUCAACCCCGGAAGUGCACUUGAAACAGCAAGACUUGAAUACGGUAGAGGAGAGAGGAAUUCCUGGUGUAGAGGUGAAAUUCGUAGAUAUCAGGAGGAACACCGGCGGCGAAGGCGACAGUCUGGCCUGCUUCUGACGCUGAGGUGCGAAAGCCAGGGGAGCAAACGGGAUUAGAUA
RNAcentral lists this ribosomal RNA (279 nucleotides) under uncultured bacterium. RNAcentral's name for it is "partial 16S ribosomal RNA". It matches the Rfam family "Bacterial small subunit ribosomal RNA", at positions 506 to 784 of the family's 1533-position model. The record is from RNAcentral.